GACGUAGGGCGCGAGCGUUGUCCGGAUUUAUUGGGCGUAAAGAGCUCGUAGGCGGCUUGUCGCGUCGUCCGUGAAAACUUGGGGCUCAACCCCAAGCCUGCGGUCGAUACGGGCAGGCUAGAGUUCGGUAGGGGAGUCUGGAAUUCCUGGUGUAGCGGUGAAAUGCGCAGAUAUCAGGAGGAACACCGGUGGCGAAGGCGGGACUCUGGGCCGAUACUGACGCUGAGGAGCGAAAGCGUGGGGAGCAAACAGG
Molecule: ribosomal RNA, 253 nt
Filed under: uncultured bacterium
Lineage: Bacteria
Description: partial 16S ribosomal RNA
Rfam family: Bacterial small subunit ribosomal RNA
Source: RNAcentral